AGAGUUUGAUCCUGGCUCAGGAUGAACGCUGGCGGCGUGCCUAAUACAUGCAAGUCGAGCGAACAGACGAGGAGCUUGCUCCUCUGACGUUAGCGGCGGACGGGUGAGUAACACGUGGAUAACCUACCUAUAAGACUGGGAUAACUUCGGGAAACCGGAGCUAAUACCGGAUAAUAUAUUGAACCGCAUGGUUCAAUAGUGAAAGACGGUUUUGCUGUCACUUAUAGAUGGAUCCGCGCCGCAUUAGCUAGUUGGUAAGGUAACGGCUUACCAAGGCAACGAUGCGUAGCCGACCUGAGAGGGUGAUCGGCCACACUGGAACUGAGACACGGUCCAGACUCCUACGGGAGGCAGCAGUAGGGAAUCUUCCGCAAUGGGCGAAAGCCUGACGGAGCAACGCCGCGUGAGUGAUGAAGGUCUUCGGAUCGUAAAACUCUGUUAUUAGGGAAGAACAAAUGUGUAAGUAACUAUGCACGUCUUGACGGUACCUAAUCAGAAAGCCACGGCUAACUACGUGCCAGCAGCCGCGGUAAUACGUAGGUGGCAAGCGUUAUCCGGAAUUAUUGGGCGUAAAGCGCGCGUAGGCGGUUUUUUAAGUCUGAUGUGAAAGCCCACGGCUCAACCGUGGAGGGUCAUUGGAAACUGGAAAACUUGAGUGCAGAAGAGGAAAGUGGAAUUCCAUGUGUAGCGGUGAAAUGCGCAGAGAUAUGGAGGAACACCAGUGGCGAAGGCGACUUUCUGGUCUGUAACUGACGCUGAUGUGCGAAAGCGUGGGGAUCAAACAGGAUUAGAUACCCUGGUAGUCCACGCCGUAAACGAUGAGUGCUAAGUGUUAGGGGGUUUCCGCCCCUUAGUGCUGCAGCUAACGCAUUAAGCACUCCGCCUGGGGAGUACGACCGCAAGGUUGAAACUCAAAGGAAUUGACGGGGACCCGCACAAGCGGUGGAGCAUGUGGUUUAAUUCGAAGCAACGCGAAGAACCUUACCAAAUCUUGACAUCCUCUGACCCCUCUAGAGAUAGAGUUUUCCCCUUCGGGGGACAGAGUGACAGGUGGUGCAUGGUUGUCGUCAGCUCGUGUCGUGAGAUGUUGGGUUAAGUCCCGCAACGAGCGCAACCCUUAAGCUUAGUUGCCAUCAUUAAGUUGGGCACUCUAAGUUGACUGCCGGUGACAAACCGGAGGAAGGUGGGGAUGACGUCAAAUCAUCAUGCCCCUUAUGAUUUGGGCUACACACGUGCUACAAUGGACAAUACAAAGGG
Molecule: ribosomal RNA, 1257 nt
Filed under: Staphylococcus epidermidis
Lineage: Bacteria; Bacillati; Bacillota; Bacilli; Caryophanales; Staphylococcaceae
Also listed under: 1 other name
Description: bacterial SSU rRNA
Rfam family: Bacterial small subunit ribosomal RNA
Source: RNAcentral